This 292-nucleotide unclassified non-coding RNA is filed under the name uncultured fungus. RNAcentral's name for it is "sequence contains ITS1". The record is from RNAcentral. Lineage: Eukaryota; Fungi.
GGACUACGAGGGUAUCUAAUCCUGUUUGCUCCCCACGCUUUCGUGCAUGAGCGUCAAUCUUGACCCAGGGGGCUGCCUUCGCCAUCGGUGUUCCUCCACAUCUCUACGCAUUUCACCGCUACACCAGGAAUUCUACCAUCCUCUCCCGCACUCAAGGCUUGCCGUAUCAAAGGCAUUUCCACGGUUGAGCCGUGGGAUUUAACCUCUGACGCACAAACCCGCCUGCGCACCCUUUACACCCAGUAAUUCCGGACAACGCUUGGUUCCUACGUAUUACCGCGGCUGCUGACAC